CUGCCCACACACACACACAGCCCCCAUAUACACAUUGCCUCCCCAUACCCUACACAUUCACACACUACACCUCACACAAACAUUGAACCCCUCACACACACCACUGCUCCUAUGCCCUACUACAGUCCCAUAUCCCAGCAGACCCGAGGUAAGUUGUCAAACUGUUCUUAAACGGUUUGACUACUUACUCUGGGAGGGGGUCCCGGCACCCCUGGCACCAUAACCACUACACAGAACUGUAGUGGUUAUUGUGCAUGGGUUAUUUCUUUAA
Pelobates cultripes (western spadefoot toad) is the source of this 271-nucleotide non-coding RNA. The record is from the annotation of a GenBank genome assembly. NCBI's taxonomy places the organism in Eukaryota, Metazoa, Chordata, Amphibia, Anura, Pelobatidae.